AUCUACUUUGACCGAAAUCAUCAUCUUUGGUUGCAAACUUCCAGUUUCCACCAACUUUGACCAAAAACAUCAACUUUGGUCGCAAACCUCGAGUUUCCACCAACUUUGACCAAAAACAUCUACUUUGACCGAAAUCAUCAUCUUUGGUUGCAAACUUCCAGUUUCCACCAACUUUGACCAAAAACAUCAACUUUGACCGAAAUCAUCAUCUUUGGUUGCAAAUUUCCAGUUUCCACUAACUUUGACCAAAAACAUCAACUUUGACCGAAAUCAUCAUCUUUGGUCGCUAAACUCGAGUUUCCACCAACUUUGACCAAAAACAUCAACUUUGACCGAAAUCAUCAUCUUUGGUUGCAAACUUCCAGUUUCCACCAACUUUGACCAAAAACAUCAACUUUGACCGAAAACAUAAACUUUGGUUGCAAACUUCCAGUUUCCAAAAACUUUGACCAAAAACAUCAACUUUGACCGAAAUCAUCAUCUUUGGUUGCAAACUUCCAGUUUCCACCAACUUUGACCAAAAACAUCUACUUUGACCGAAAUCAUCAUCUUUGAUUGCAAACUUCCAGUUUCCACCAACUUUGACCAAAAACAUCUACUUUGACCGAAAUCAUCAUUUUUGGUUGCAAACUUCCAGUUUUCACCAACUUUGACAAAAAACAUCUACUUUGACCGAAAUCAUCAUCUUUGGUUGCAAACUUCCAGUUUCCACCAACUUUGACCAAAAACAUCAACUUUGACCGAAAUCAUCAUCUUUGGUUGCAAACUUCCAGUUUCCACCAACUUUGACCAAAAACAUCAACUUUGACCGAAAACAUCAUCUUUGGUUGCAAACUUCCAGUUUCCACCAACUUUGACCAAAAACAUCUACUUUGACCGAAAUCAUCAUCUUUGGUUGCAAACUUCCAGUUUCCACCAACUUUGACCAAAAACAUCUACUUUGACCGAAAUCAUCAACUUUGGUCGCAAACUUCCAGUUUCCACCAACUUUGACCAAAAACAUCAACUUUGACCGAAAACAUCAACUUUGGUCGCAAACCUCGAGUUUCCACCAACUUUGACCAAAAACAUCAACUUUGACCGAAAUCAUCAUCUUUGGUUGCAAACUUCCAGUUUCCACCAACUUUGACCAAAAACAUCUACUUUUACCGAAAUCAUCAUCUUUGGUUGCAAACUUCCAGUUUCCACCAACUUUGACCAAAAACAUCUACUUUGACCGAAAUCAUCUACUUUGACCGAAAUCAUCAACUUUGGUUGCAAACCUCGAGUUUCCACCAACUUUGACCAAAAACAUCAACUUUAGUCGCAAACCUCAAGUUUCCACCAACUUUGACCAAAAACAUCAACUUUAGUCGCAAACCUCGAGUUUCCACCAACUUUGACCAAAAACAUCAACUUUGACCGAAAUCAUCAUCUUUGGUUGCAAACUUCCAGUUUCCACCAACUUUGACCAAAAACAUCAACUUUGACCGAAACCAUCAUCUUUGGUUGCAAACUUCCAGUUUCC
Long non-coding RNA from Anopheles funestus (African malaria mosquito), 1507 nucleotides. RefSeq lists it as uncharacterized. Lineage: Eukaryota; Metazoa; Arthropoda; Insecta; Diptera; Culicidae. The record is from RefSeq and is a predicted model, not a curated record. The transcript has 3 exons.